GAUGAACGCUAGCGGCAGGCCUAAUACAUGCAAGUCGGACGGGAUUUGGGAGCUUGCUCCUAAUGAGAGUGGCGCACGGGUGCGUAACACGUAUGUAACCUACCUUAAUCAGGGGGAUAGCCACUCGUAAGAGAGAUUAACACCGCCUAAUCUAUUUUUAUGGCAUAGUAGAAAUAUCAAAUAUUUAUAGGAUUAAGAUGGGCAUGCGGAACAUUAGCUAGUUGGUAAGUUAACGGCUUACCAAGGCUACGAUGUUUAGGGGAUCUGAGAGGAUGACCCCCCACACUGGUACUGAGACACGGACCAGACUCCUACGGGAGGCAGCAGUAAGGAAUAUUGGUCAGUGGGCGCAAGCCUGAACCAGCCAUGCCGCGUGCAGGAAGACGGCCCUAUGGGUUGUAAACUGCUUUUGUACCGGAAUAAACCCUUUUACGUGUAAGAGGCUGAAUGUACGGUAAGAAUAAGGAUCGGCUAACUCCGUGCCAGCAGCCGCAGUAA
This 498-nucleotide ribosomal RNA is filed under the name uncultured bacterium. RNAcentral's name for it is "partial 16S ribosomal RNA". It matches the Rfam family "Bacterial small subunit ribosomal RNA", at positions 28 to 523 of the family's 1533-position model. The record is from RNAcentral.